CGGCGGACGGGUGAGUAACGCGUGGGUAACCUGCCUCAUACAGGGGGAUAACAGUUGGAAACGGCUGCUAAUACCGCAUAAGCGCACAGUACCGCAUGGUACCGUGUGAAAAACUCCGGUGGUAUGAGGUGGACCCGCGUCUGAUUAGCUAGUUGGUGGGGUAACGGCCUACCAAGGCGACGAUCAGUAGCCGACCUGAGAGGGUGACCGGCCACAUUGGGACUGAGACACGGCCCAA
RNAcentral lists this ribosomal RNA (238 nucleotides) under uncultured bacterium. RNAcentral describes it as "partial 16S ribosomal RNA". It matches the Rfam family "Bacterial small subunit ribosomal RNA", at positions 96 to 334 of the family's 1533-position model. The record is from RNAcentral.